Molecule: ribosomal RNA, 360 nt
Filed under: uncultured bacterium
Lineage: Bacteria
Description: bacterial SSU rRNA
Rfam family: Bacterial small subunit ribosomal RNA
Source: RNAcentral
UCCCGCAAGGGAUAAGUAGAGUGGCAAACGGGUGAGUAACACGUGGGUGACCUGCCUUCGAGCGGGGGAUAACGUCCCGAAAGGGACGCUAAUACCGCAUAACAUCCUGCCUUUGAAGAGGCGGAGAUCAAAGCCGGGGACCGUAAGGCCUGGCACUUGAAGAGGGGCCCGCGUCUGAUUAGCUAGUUGGUGGGGUAAUGGCUCACCAAGGCAACGAUCAGUAUCCGGCCCGAGAGGGCGGACGGACACACUGGGACUGAGACACGGCCCAGACUCCUACGGGAGGCAGCAGUGGGGAAUUGUUCGCAAUGGGCGCAAGCCUGACGACGCAACGCCGCGUGGAGGAUGAAGACCUUCGGG